GCGAACUACGUGCCAGCAGCCGGGGUAAUACGUAGUGGGCAAGGGUUAUCCGGGGUUAUUGGGCGUAAAGCGAGCGCAGGCUGUUUUUUAAGUCUGAGGUGAAAGCCCUCGGCUUAACCGAGGAAGCGCAUCGGAAACUGGGAAACUUGAGUGCAGAAGAGGACAGUGGAACUCCAUGUGUAGCGGUGAAAUGCGUAGAUAUAUGGAAGAACACCAGUGGCGAAGGCGGCUGUCUGGUCUGUAACUGACGCUGAGGCUCGAAAGCAUGGGUAGCGAACAGGAUUAGAUACCCUUGUAGUC
This 300-nucleotide ribosomal RNA is filed under the name uncultured Helicobacter sp. RNAcentral describes it as "bacterial SSU rRNA". It matches the Rfam family "Bacterial small subunit ribosomal RNA", at positions 496 to 795 of the family's 1533-position model. The record is from RNAcentral. Lineage: Bacteria; Pseudomonadati; Campylobacterota; Epsilonproteobacteria; Campylobacterales; Helicobacteraceae.